GAUUAACGCUGGCGGCGUGCCUAACACAUGCAAGUCGAACGAUGAAACUUUAAUGAACCCUUCGGGGAGAAUUAAAGCGGAUUAGUGGCGAACGGGUGAGUAACGCGUGAGUAACCUGCCUUACACAAGGGGAUAGCCUUUGGAAACGAAGAAUAAUACCCUAUAAAACCAUAAAAGCACAUGCAAUUAUGGUCAAAGUGAUAGCGGUGUAAGAUGGACUUGCGUCUGAUUAGCUAGUUGGUGAGAUAAAAGCCCACCAAGGCAACGAACAGUAGCCGGCUUGAGAGAGUGUACGGCCACAUUGGGACUGAGACACGGCCCAGACUCCUACGGGAGGCAGCAGUGGGGAAUUUUGCACAAUGGGGGAAACCCUGAUGCAGCGACGCCGCGUGAUUUAGAAGGCCUUCGGGUUGUAAAAAUCUUUUGUAUAGGAAGAAAAUGACAGUACUAUACGAAUAAGGUCCGGCUAAUUACGUG
Molecule: ribosomal RNA, 477 nt
Filed under: uncultured bacterium
Lineage: Bacteria
Description: partial 16S ribosomal RNA
Rfam family: Bacterial small subunit ribosomal RNA
Source: RNAcentral